Molecule: ribosomal RNA, 253 nt
Filed under: uncultured bacterium
Lineage: Bacteria
Description: partial 16S ribosomal RNA
Rfam family: Bacterial small subunit ribosomal RNA
Source: RNAcentral
UACAGAGGGUGCGAGCGUUACUCGGAAUUACUGGGCGUAAAGCGCACGUAGGCGGCUUGGUAUGUCGGGUGUGAAAUCCCCGGGCUCAACCUGGGAACUGCAUCCGAAACUGCCUUGCUAGAGUAUGGGAGAGGGAAGUGGAAUUUCCGGUGUAGCGGUGAAAUGCGUAGAUAUCGGAAGGAACAUCAGUGGCGAAGGCGACUUCCUGGACCAAUACUGACGCUCAGGUGCGAAAGCGUGGGGAGCAAACAGG